This is a long non-coding RNA of Oreochromis aureus, 1321 nucleotides long. RefSeq lists it as uncharacterized. The transcript has 3 exons. The record is from RefSeq and is a predicted model, not a curated record. NCBI's taxonomy places the organism in Eukaryota, Metazoa, Chordata, Actinopteri, Cichliformes, Cichlidae.
AGUUUCAGUUGAAAUUGAGGUGGAAAUUCCCAUAGAAGCAGGGGAGGAGUCCCCAGCCACAAGCUCACCUCAGGUCAGAUUUUCUUGACCUUGAAGAGCCAGGAAGAACUGGAGGUGAUGAAAGUGAAUCUUCUGGGAAGGAUAGUGAGAUUUCAGUGCCCCUCAUUUCACCUGUUGGGGAAUCUCAGCUGCUUGACAUUGAAGGUACACAAGAUGUUCCUGAAACUGAUGACAUAGCUAAUUUAACCCACAUAAAAGAGCCAUCAGAGGGGUUAGAUGAGGCCGUCAGAUGUUCAAACAGGCAGUGAAGUCGACCAAAGAGACUUCAUUAUGCUGAACUUGGAAACCCUUUAAUAGAGGUGGUUCAGUCACUUUUUCACGGUCUGCGUGCUGCCAUAAUAAAGUCAAUGGAUGCUGCAGAACCGUUAUGGUACGAUCAAACCACCAUCCCUCCUGUCAACCCAGUAACAACACAGCUGCAGAGAAGGUGCACGGGGACGUGCCACCCUUCAGUGGGGGAGGGUGUAACCCUGGAGAGUUACUAAGGGUUUUAGUGUGUUAUGAGCGAUGUUAGUAUUUUGAGUUCACUGUUAAGUUUUAUUAAGUUAAAUUAUUUUGUUGAGAAUUAAUAAAACAGAAGAUGUCUAUAAUGUCCUGAUGGUCCUUGAAGUAUACAGGGGGAAGUACCACCUCCUGCCGUUCACUGCGUAGCAGCUACGGAUAUCAGGAAAAAGGGAGAGGAAGAAAAAGUCUGUUUUUUCCAAGUGGAAAGCGUGGUUGUUUUUAUUCAGUCGGAUUGUACGGUGGAAAUAAACUAGCUGGAAAUUGUUGUUAACCAGAAAGGACUACUUACUGCUCGGAUUCUUCUGGUUGUGCUACAACGCUGCACCAUCGCCAUUUUGAAGCUCCAGGAGAACCCAUUUUGUUGGUUACUUUGGUCAGCUUUUUUUUUUUGGGAGUACAGUUCGGUGAUGAUCCAGUCCAAAGAUGGCGAGCCACCCCUCCAGGAUCCUUGAGAUGAUUGUUUUAAGAAGAGAACUAAAUUCUUCGGACGAGCCGUGAACUGUACAAAUUCUACUUGAGUGGUAGGACAGAUUUGCACCUCAUUCCUCCUUUGCACAUCCUGCAAGGAGAAUCCUCAUUGCUGGACUCACACUUAAGGGUGUUGGCUGACACAAGCGAGAGACUGAGUCAAAUCCCCCGGGGGUGUGUGUGUUUUGUUUAUUAUUUUCCGUGACUUGGGCCCAAUUUUUCCUUUCAUGUACUGUUAUUGUUUUCAUUGUAUGUAUGUGUGAUUCUUUAAUUGUGAAUACAAAUCGAU